UAUACGAAAAUCAAACGAUUUUCGUUUGCUUUUUCUGAUUAUUUCUGCUUUAAGCGUUUGCCUUUACGUCCCGGCUCAAACUUUUUUUUCUGACCACCAGAUGUCGCUUCCAUAACAAUCCUCCCAUUUCUCUAUGCAUAAAUUUUAAUCGCAGAAAUAUUUCUCAGAGAGAAAUAUCCCAGUAAUUACACCAUGAGAAAUAUCCUUGUGCGUAAAGAGGGAGAAACGUGAAAAUACCUAAAACUUAAUUGUUUGAUAUUUUAUUUAUUUCUGAGUGUAUAAUUGAUUUUUUUUUAAAUUUUUAUUUCUUUUGUUUUGUUUUCAGGAAGAAAAUGGUUGGCGGAUUCAAACGCAUAUCUACCAAACCCGUUUUCCACUGAUUCCGUGAUGACAAAGAAUGAAAAUUUCAGCAGCAGCCGGCUUAUUUUGAUGCUGUUUUGCCCGGUUAUUUAAACUGGGCCGUAGCAGUGGAAAGUGAAGGCCCCUGAACAACAGCCGGCCGGCAAAUCGGAUACCAUUAGUGGUAUGAAUAAGGUUUAGCAAUUGCUUCGGUAGCUUUUACUUUGCUCGAAAUCAAUCAAAGCAAAAAUCCAAAGCAUUUGCUUUGUUCGGACGAGGAAAUAAAAAAACCGCUUUUGAAGCAGUUGUAGCAGAGCAUUAAAAGUAGCUCAAACUAAAAAAGAAUUGAAUUUAUUAGUUUGAGGAAAGUUAAGAUAAAUUUUACCACUUACAAUAAAUGGUUUUCUUCCUCGGAUUUGGCCGAACAAUCUUGGCUCAAUUGGCCUUCUACUAGGCGCGCCUAAAAGUACAAAAAUUAUAAAUAAACAGUUGAGCUAACAAGAAAUUAUCCGGACUUACGGUUUAGAUCGACUUCCGGAUCUAUAAAACCACGAGUAUUAAAGGGUUUCUUCCCCUGCCUUUUGCCCAAAAAGUGAGGCACAGUUAGCCUUCUGCUAGGCUCGCGAUACAGUAGCGAAAACAAAACUACUUCACACGAAAACCUCAUUAAUUCGCGACUAAACUUGCUAAUUUAAUAUUAGCGCUUCGGAAUAACAAUUUUACUACCGUUCUCUUCGACUAGUGAAAAAACGUUGUCCUAUCUCAACCGUCGAUUCUGUCACUUUGACAGAUGCGGCAAAACUUCGCCGCGCUCACUGGUUCGGCGGCGUCGCUGCUCGGUCCAAGGAUGCCAGCGGUGCCAACAUCGCCCCCGCCCGUAACUCUAGUGCAGGGUCCUUCACCUGACUGGAUUUACGACCAAUCUCCAACACCGCAAGCUUGUUCACAGGACGACGCAGCUCCUUCCCAUUCGCCAAACGCACCACAGCU
This is a long non-coding RNA of Uranotaenia lowii, 1329 nucleotides long. RefSeq lists it as uncharacterized. The transcript is spliced from 3 exons. The record is from RefSeq and is a predicted model, not a curated record. Lineage: Eukaryota; Metazoa; Arthropoda; Insecta; Diptera; Culicidae.